AUUGAACGCUGGCGGCAGGCCUAACACAUGCAAGUCGAACGGUAACAGGAAACAGCUUGCUGUUUCGCUGACGAGUGGCGGACGGGUGAGUAAUGUCUGGGAAACUGCCUGAUGGAGGGGGAUAACUACUGGAAACGGUAGCUAAUACCGCAUAACGUCGCAAGACCAAAGAGGGGGACCUUCGGGCCUCUUGCCAUCGGAUGUGCCCAAAUGGGAUUAGCUAGUAGGUGGGGUAACGGCUCACCUAGGCGACGAUCCCUAGCUGGUCUGAGAGGAUGACCAGCCACACUGGAACUGAGACACGGUCCAGACUCCUACGGGAGGCAGCAGUGGGGAAUAUUGCACAAUGGGCGCAAGCCUGAUGCAGCCAUGCCGCGUGUAUGAAGAAGGCCUUCGGGUUGUAAAGUACUUUCAGCGGGGAGGAAGGGAGUAAAGUUAAUACCUUUGCUCAUUGACGUUACCCGCAGAAGAAGCACCGGCUAACUCCGUG
RNAcentral lists this ribosomal RNA (490 nucleotides) under uncultured bacterium. Its description in RNAcentral is "partial 16S ribosomal RNA". It matches the Rfam family "Bacterial small subunit ribosomal RNA", at positions 30 to 507 of the family's 1533-position model. The record is from RNAcentral.